Syntrophothermus lipocalidus DSM 12680 is the source of this 3918-nucleotide ribosomal RNA. It matches the Rfam family "Bacterial large subunit ribosomal RNA". The record is from Rfam. Lineage: Bacteria; Bacillati; Bacillota; Clostridia; Eubacteriales; Syntrophomonadaceae.
GGUCAAGCGUAGUAAGGGCGUACGGUGGAUGCCUAGGCGCUAGGAGGCGAAGAAGGGCGUGGCAAGCUGCGAAAAGCCACGGGGAGCUGCAAGCGAGCGAAGAUCCGUGGAUACCCGAAUGGGGGAACCCGGUACCUGGGAACAGGUAUCAUCCCUACCUGAACACAUAGGGUAGGAGAGGCGAGACCCGGCGAACUGAAACAUCUUAGUAGCCGGAGGAGAAGAAAGCAAGAGCGAUUCCCUUAGUAGCGGCGAGCGAAAGGGGAAGAGCCUAAACCGUGCAGGUGUUAAAGGCUGCAGUCGUUGCCUGUACGGGGUAGAGGGGAUGUUCGAGGUAGAGCUGCAGAUUUACCGGAGCCGAAGGCUGUUUAGGAGAACGAGGCUGGAAAGCCUGACCACAGAGGGUGAAAGUCCCGUAUUCGGAAAGCAGUUGUAGGUUCUAGAGCAUACCCCGAGUACCGCUGGACACGUGGUAUCCGGUGGGAAUCAGGGAGGACCACCUCCUAAGGCUAAAUACUACCUAGCGACCGAUAGCGCAUAGUACCGUGAGGGAAAGGUGAAAAGCACCCCGGGAGGGGAGUGAAAUAGAACCUGAAACCGUAUGCCUACAAGCAGUCAGAGUCUGGCACUCAACUCAGUGCUCAUUUGCAGAUUAAGAGGGAGUUAUGGACCCGGGAGGGUAAGUAAGGGAUAAGAGUGGAGUGGGCAGCGAGUUGAGUGCCGGAUGAUGGCGUACUUUUUGUAGAACGGGCCGGCGAGUUACGGUAGCAAGCGAGGUUAAGCCUGAUUAAGGGUGGAGCCGAAGCGAAAGCGAGUCUGAAGAGGGCGAAUAGUUUGCUGCUGUAGACCCGAAACCGGGUGAUCUACCCAUGUCCAGGGUGAAGCGGUGGUAAAGCAUCGUGGAGGCCCGAACCAGAUGGCGUUGAAAAGCCAGUGGAUGAGGUGUGGGUAGGGGUGAAAUGCCAAUCGAACCCGGAGAUAGCUGGUUCUCCCCGAAAUAGCUUUAGGGCUAGCCUCAGGGGUUUCUUAGCGGAGGUAGAGCACUGGUUGGGCUAGGGGCCUUACCCGGUUACCGAACCUUCCCAAACUGCGAAUGCCGUUAAGUGAACCCUGGGAGUCAGACUAUGGGUGAUAAGGUUCAUAGUCGAGAGGGAAACAGCCCAGACCGCCAGUUAAGGUCCCAAAUCCAGGCUAAGUGGGAAAGGAAGUGGGGUUGCGAAGACAGCCAGGAUGUUGGCUUAGAAGCAGCCAUCAUUCAAAGAGUGCGUAAUAGCUCACUGGUCAAGUGACCCUGCGCCGAAAAUGUAACGGGGCUCAAGUCUGGAACCGAAGCUGCGGAUAUGGAGGUUGGAGGCCAGAGGUAGGAAGUAGGAAGAGGGGCUAAAGAGACCUGGAGGACAGAGCAUAUGGCUAUUAGAGGAUAUGAAGACCUAGAGGUAUACCAACUUGGGUACCAACUGGCAAUGAUGGUACAUCGGAAGAGCCAGGAGAUGCCAGCGAGUGAGAGAUACGAACUAGGUCGACAGAUUCGGAAGGCGGCGAUAUCAGUACCGGCCAAUAUAGCGGAAGGAUAUGGUCGCAAGGAUUCUGCAAAAGAGUUCAAGCACUUUCUUAGGAACGCUAUGGGUUCAGUAAACGAGGUACAGGUUUAUAUAGACAUGAAUGAAGGACCUGGGAUAUGUAGAUGGAAGGGCCCAUGAGGAACUAAGGAGUGGGUAUGCUCUGUUAGGGAAGAAACUAUACCAUUUGAUAAAGAGUUGGAACAGAGAUGAAUGAUCCGACUUCCGACUUCCGGCCUCCAACUUCCAUGUGGUAGGGGAGCGUUCUUACUGGGCAGAAGCCAUACCGUAAGGAAUGGUGGACUGGUAAGAAGAGAGAAUGCCGGCAUGAGUAAGCGAGAAGGCAGGUGAGAAUCCUGUCCGCCGAAAGCCUAAGGUUUCCUGGGGAAGGCUCGUCCACCCAGGGUAAGCCGGGACCUAAGCCGAGGCCGAAAGGCGUAGGUGAUGGAGAAUCGGUUGAGAAUCCGAUGCCACCUUCAGACCGAUUGAGCGAAGGGGUGACGCAGGAGGGUAGGCGAAGCGCACGGAUGGAAAAGUGCGUCCAAGCCCGUAGGGUGCAAGGCAGGCAAAUCCGCCUUGCGGAGAGCCUGAGGGGUGACGGGGAGCGAAUAUUAGUAGCGAAGUCGCUGAACCCAAACUGCCAAGAAAAGCCUCUAGCGAGGUUUGGGGUGCCCGUACCGCAAACCGACACAGGUAGGCGAGGAGAGAAUCCUAAGGCGCGCGAGAGAACCCUCGUUAAGGAACUCGGACAAAAUCGGCCCCGUAACUUCGGGAGAAGGGGUACCCCGAUAGUGUAGCCGUAAUAUACUUAUGGUGGCACGAGGGGGUCGCAGUGACCAGGCCCAGGCGACUGUUUACCAAAAACACAGGUCUCUGCAAAAUCGAAAGAUGAAGUAUAGAGGCUGACGCCUGCCCGGUGCCGGAAGGUUAAGGGGAAGGGUUAUCCGGCACUCAAUGGUCUUUACCAGGAGGAGAUAAAGUGUACUACGUGUAUGUAUUAGUAAGCGAAGAGGGAAAGACGUAUCUAGGAUACACGUCAGACCUCAAGCGGCGGAUACAGGAGCACAAUGAAGGCAGGAACAAGUGGACACGUGGGCACAGAAGGAGAUUAGCAUACUAUGAAGCGUAUGCGAGCGAUGCGGACGCAAGGAGAAGGGAAAGGAAUCUCAAGCGUUCGGGACAGGCCAGAAGAUGGCUUAGGGAGCGCAUACGGGAGAGCGUGAAGUAGAGACCAUUGAGUGCCGGAGAAGCUCUGAACCGAAGCCCCGGUGAACGGCGGCCGUAACUAUAACGGUCCUAAGGUAGCGAAAUUCCUUGUCGGGUAAGUUCCGACCCGCACGAAAGGCGUAACGAUCUGGGCGCUGUCUCGACGAGGGGCUCGGUGAAAUUGUAAUACCGGUGAAGAUGCCGGUUACCUGCGACAGGACAGAAAGACCCCGUGGAGCUUUACUGUAGCCUGAUAUUGGAUUUUGGCAGGUCAUGUACAGGAUAGGUGGGAGGCUGGGAAGCAGGGCCGCCAGGUUCUGUGGAGCCGUUGGUGGGAUACCACUCUUGGCUUGCUGGAGUUCUAACCUGCCCCCGUGAGCCGGGGGAGGGACAGUGUCAGGUGGGCAGUUUGACUGGGGCGGUCGCCUCCUAAAGGGUAACGGAGGCGCCCAAAGGUUCCCUCAGCGCGGAUGGAAAUCGCGCGUAGAGUGCAAAGGCAGAAGGGAGCUUGACUGCGAGAGGGACGCUUCGAGCAGGGACGAAAGUCGGGCUUAGUGAUCCGGCGGUACCGAGUGGAAGGGCCGUCGCUCAACGGACAAAAGCUACCCCGGGGAUAACAGGCUUAUCUCCCCCAAGAGUCCACAUCGACGGGGAGGUUUGGCACCUCGAUGUCGGCUCAUCGCAUCCUGGGGCUGGAGAAGGUCCCAAGGGUUGGGCUGUUCGCCCAUUAAAGCGGUACGUGAGCUGGGUUCAGAACGUCGUGAGACAGUUCGGUCCCUAUCCGUCGCAGGCGCAGGAGAAUUGAGGGGAGCUGUCCCUAGUACGAGAGGACCGGGAUGGACAGACCGCUGGUGUACCAGUUGUUCCGCCAGGGGCACAGCUGGGUAGCUAUGUCUGGAACGGAUAAGCGCUGAAAGCAUCUAAGCGCGAAGCCGACCCCAAGAUGAGUUCUCCCACCCGGCACUCAACCAGGCACUUAGCAGGAAGCGAGGAUUGUAUCAGCGGAUGCUGGUAGAAGAGGCAAGCGAGAUGUUAGGUGUCGGGUUGAGUGCCGGGGUAAGACCCCAGCAAGACUAGCUGGUAGAUAGGCCGGGGGUGUAAGCACAGCAAUGUGUUGAGCCGACCGGUACUAAUAGGUCGAGGGCUUGACCUA